RNAcentral lists this ribosomal RNA (215 nucleotides) under uncultured fungus. RNAcentral's name for it is "partial small subunit ribosomal RNA". The stretch from base 38 to 215 matches the Rfam family "Eukaryotic small subunit ribosomal RNA", at positions 684 to 864 of the family's 1831-position model. Lineage: Eukaryota; Fungi. The record is from RNAcentral.
GGAUCAGUACGCUGGUCGUGCCUUCGGUAUGUACUGGUGUUACUGGUUUCUACCUUCUGAAGAACCGUCAUGUCAUUAGUUUGGUGUGGCGGGGAAUCAGGACUGUUACUUUGAAAAAAUUAGAGUGUUUAAAGCAGGCUCGCGCUUGAAUACAUUAGCAUGGAAUAAUGAAAUAGGACGGACGGUUCUAUUUUGUUGGUUAUGGGACCACCGUA